Non-coding RNA from Acanthosepion pharaonis, 114 nucleotides. Lineage: Eukaryota; Metazoa; Mollusca; Cephalopoda; Sepiida; Sepiidae. The record is from the annotation of a GenBank genome assembly.
UUACGGCCAUAUCACGUUGAAACACUGGUAUUUGUACGAUCAUCGAAGUUAAGCAACAUCGAGCCUGGUCAGUACCGAGGUGUGUGCUCGAUUGUGAAUACCAGGUGCUGUAAG